This 492-nucleotide ribosomal RNA is filed under the name uncultured bacterium. RNAcentral describes it as "partial 16S ribosomal RNA". It matches the Rfam family "Bacterial small subunit ribosomal RNA", at positions 29 to 507 of the family's 1533-position model. The record is from RNAcentral.
AGUGAACGCUGGCGGCGUGCCUAACACGUGCAAGUCGAGCGGACGCACGGGAAGCGCGCGUCCCUGCGGUUGGCGGCGGGCGGGCGGGUGACGCGUGCAUAGGCUACUUCUAUUACGGGGGUGACUUCGGGGGACCACUGCCGCUACUACCGCAUACUAUGAACCGCAGGAAUCAGAGGUGCUUGGGGCCCUGCCCGUCUCAAUGAGCCGGAGUCGGAUUAGCUAGUUGGCGAGGUAACGGCUCACCAAGGCAACGAUCCGUAGCUGGUCUGAGAGGAUGAUCGGCCACACUGGAACUGAGACACGGUCCAGACUCCUACGGGAGGCAGCAGUGGGGAAUAUUCGGCAAUGGGCGCAAGCCUGACGCAGCCAUGCCGCGUGAGUGAUGAAGGUCUUCGGAUCGUAAAGCCCUUUUGUUGGGAAAGAACAUAAGUGGGUUAAUCUGUGCCUAUUUUGACGGUACCUAAUCAGUAAGCCCCGGCUAACUUCGUG